ACACAGCACUCUGCUAACUCGUAAGAGGAUGUAUAGGGUGUGACGCCUGCCCGGUGCUCGAAGGUUAAUUGAUGGGGUUAGCAUUAGCGAAGCUCUUGAUCGAAGCCCGAGUAAACGGCGGCCGUAACUAUAACGGUCCUAAGGUAGCGAAAUUCCUUGUCGGUUAAAUACCGACCUGCAUGAAUGGCGUAACGAGAUGGGAGCUGUCUCAAAGAGGGAUCCAGUGAAAUUGUAGUGGAGGUGAAAAUUCCUCCUACCCGCGGCAAGACGGAAAGACCCCGUGGACCUUUACUACAGCUUGACACUGCUAUUUGGAUAAGAAUGUGCAGGAUAGGUGGGAGGCUUUGAGUAUAUGACGCCAGUUGUAUAUGAGCCAUUGUUGAGAUACCACUCUUUCUUAUUUGGGUAGCUAACCAGCUUGAGUUAUCCUCAAGUGGGACAAUGUCUGGUGGGUAGUUUGACUGGGGCGGUCGCCUCCCAAAUAAUAACGGAGGCUUACAAAGGUUGGCUCAGAACGGUUGGAAAUCGUUCGUAGAGUAUAAAGGUAUAAGCCAGCUUAACUGCAAGACAUACAAGUCAAGCAGAGACGAAAGUCGGUCUUAGUGAUCCGGUGGUUCUGUGUGGAAGGGCCAUCGCUCAAAGGAUAAAAGGUACCCCGGGGAUAACAGGCUGAUCUCCCCCAAGAGCUCACAUCGACGGGGAGGUUUGGCACCUCGAUGUCGGCUCAUCGCAUCCUGGGGCUGGAGCAGGUCCCAAGGGUAUGGCUGUUCGCCAUUUAAAGCGGUACGCGAGCUGGGUUCAGAACGUCGUGAGACAGUUCGGUCCCUAUCUGCCGUGGGCGUAAGAAGAUUGAAGAGAUUUGACCCUAGUACGAGAGGACCGGGUUGAACAAACCACUGGUGUAGCUGUUGUUCUGCCAAGAGCAUCGCAGCGUAGCUAAGUUUGGAAAGGAUAAACGCUGAAAGCAUCUAAGCGUGAAGCCAACUCUAAGAUGAAUCUUCUCUAAGCUCUCUAGAAGACUACUAGUUUGAUAGGCUGGGUGUGUAAUGGAUGAAAGUCCUUUAGCUGACCAGUACUAAUAGAGCGUUUGGCUUAUCUUUAAUAAAGCAU
RNAcentral lists this ribosomal RNA (1110 nucleotides) under Campylobacter coli. RNAcentral describes it as "partial 23S ribosomal RNA". It matches the Rfam family "Bacterial large subunit ribosomal RNA", at positions 1813 to 2925 of the family's 2925-position model. The record is from RNAcentral. Lineage: Bacteria; Pseudomonadati; Campylobacterota; Epsilonproteobacteria; Campylobacterales; Campylobacteraceae.